This 69-nucleotide transfer RNA is filed under the name Dysomma anguillare (shortbelly eel). Its description in RNAcentral is "tRNA-Val". It matches the Rfam family "tRNA". From Rfam's summary of the family: Transfer RNA (tRNA) molecules are approximately 80 nucleotides in length. The record is from RNAcentral. RNAcentral also lists the same sequence under 1 other name. Lineage: Eukaryota; Metazoa; Chordata; Actinopteri; Anguilliformes; Synaphobranchidae.
UAGACUGUAGCUAAAACAAAGCAUCUCCCUUACACCGAGAAGACACUCGUGAAAACCGAGUCAGCCUAA